UUUCAAGCGGGGCGGGAUAUCCCGCCAGUCCGCUAGCCCGCCCCGCAAAAUAACGCCCGCGCGGCGUCGCAUCCCGCCCCGCUAAGUAUGUGCAGGAUGGAGCGGUAAAACCCGCUCGGCCCGCUGAAAGCCCGCUCAGCCCGCUACCGCCCGCGAGAUGCCCUUCGGUCGAAGCCAGUCAGAGUCCCAGUCGCUCCCCCGUCCCCGCCCUCCCGCCGCCGCACCUCCCUCUCCCCGGACGCCGCCGCACCUCCAUCUCCUCGGCCGCCGCCGAACGUCCCUCUCCCCCAGCCGCCGCCCUCCCCUCCCUCGUUCCCGAUGCCCCAACCUCGCACUUUCUGAUGGUGGGGUCGACGGCGGCGCCGCCGCCAUCUUCACAUCCAGACCGCCCUGCUGGAAUCGUGGACGGAGAAGCUUUUCCUCCUCCGCCUGACGGUCCUCCGUCACCAACAGCAACUGGCGUUUUGUUGCCGUCCUCUGUACAAAUCAGUGCCCAAGACCAUCUCCAACUCCAAGAUAUGUGACACAAGAUCCUCCACUGUUCGAUGUUUGAUCAAGAUCUGAUGACCUGUUCGAUGGAUUUGGCUUGUAACCGGUUCCUCGGAGCUUCAGUGAGAGUCAAUUGAUGUGUAGUUCAGUUUGAUAUUAAUAAAUGCUUACAUGAUACGAAGUGCAUAAUUGAAGGAUUGAAGAAAUUUUAGCAAUGGCAGCCUAUUCUAGAUGAUAUAUCUGUGGUUAUUAUUAUUACAAGGAAACAAGGGUAAAAUCUUUGAGUUAUCUUCACAGGUAGAAAGCAUAGAGAGCAUAGAGGACCAAGUCUCAUUUGUUAUCAUUUAGGGAUUAUGUUCAGUAAUAUAUAUACAACUUGUAAUACAUGUGAUGCUUUGAUGCAAGCCUACCACUUGUAAUAUCUACGGAGACUGAUGCACCACUAGAGCUAAUAAUUUCUUGAUGUCAAUUGGUUAUUUUUUCUAAUUACUACAUUGAUCAACAGAUCGACUUAUAAGAGUCAAGGUGGAGGAGGUUUCUGAAGAUGGCAAUGUUCAGACUCAAGGUGGGGUUGGGGGUGCGCUGCAAGGAAGGAAGAAAGGAGCAACCAUGACACCCGGCAAAUGUUCUAAGGAUGGCAAUGUUCAGACUCAAGGUGUUUCAUUACCGUCAACUUCCUAGUUAAGGUUCAAUGGCUGGAAUUGGAACAGGGGGGGAAUUUUCUUUAUCUCCCUAGUUAAGGUUCCUUGUUAUUGGUGACAGGAACUUGAAGAAGAGAACCAUGGAUGACAACCUUCUGGAGUGCCUUCAAUCUGUGAACAUUUGUUUGGUCAAAUAAAUUCAGUUGUGAACUUACAGCCUGUAAUACUGAUGCUUUUCAUGAGUCUCAGUUGAACAUUUGUUUGAUCAAUUAAAUUGUAACUUGAUGAUUCAGUAGUAAAGUACUGCUAAGCAUUUUGUUUAA
Lolium perenne is the source of this 1453-nucleotide long non-coding RNA. RefSeq lists it as uncharacterized. The record is from RefSeq and is a predicted model, not a curated record. NCBI's taxonomy places the organism in Eukaryota, Viridiplantae, Streptophyta, Magnoliopsida, Poales, Poaceae.